RNAcentral lists this transfer RNA (73 nucleotides) under Stegodyphus mimosarum. It matches the Rfam family "tRNA". From Rfam's summary of the family: Transfer RNA (tRNA) molecules are approximately 80 nucleotides in length. Their secondary structure includes four short double-helical elements and three loops (D, anti-codon, and T loops). Further hydrogen bonds mediate the characteristic L-shaped molecular structure. tRNAs have two regions of fundamental functional importance: the anti-codon, which is responsible for specific mRNA codon recognition, and the 3' end, to which the tRNAs corresponding amino acid is attached (by aminoacyl-tRNA synthetases). tRNAs cope with the degeneracy of the genetic code in two manners: having more than one tRNA (with a specific anti-codon) for a particular amino acid; and 'wobble' base-pairing, i.e. permitting non-standard base-pairing at the 3rd anti-codon position. The record is from Rfam by way of RNAcentral. Lineage: Eukaryota; Metazoa; Arthropoda; Arachnida; Araneae; Eresidae.
GCUUUCGUAGUGCAGUGGCCAGCACACUCGACGAGUACUCGAGAGGUCCGUGGUUCGAAUCCCGGCAAAGGCA